Molecule: long non-coding RNA, 6714 nt
Filed under: Podarcis lilfordi (Lilford's wall lizard)
Lineage: Eukaryota; Metazoa; Chordata; Lepidosauria; Squamata; Lacertidae
Source: RNAcentral
AUAAUAAAAACCACUUAACAGAGAAGACAUAUCUUUCCUUUUAUAAAUGAGACAGCUGUGUGCAUGUUUUUAUAUUUAAAAACUCUUCAAAAUGAACUUUUUUUUAUUAGCACCAACCCAAAAUGUUUCAAAAUAGUGUGAAAGCUUUCAAGUUCUCCAGCUUGUGAGCUGUAUCGUUGCACUUUGGUUGGCCCAAAUAAAGGCAUUGACUGACUGAGCGUUUCUGAGGCUUUCUCACCUUUAUGGACCAACAAGGUUGCCUUUGUUUUUGUUUUAUGAAUGCCAUUCAUGUUUUCUAGUGUGUAAGCAAGGGAUAGGUACCUCACUGUGAAAACUAUGGUAUAUCAGGCCUUUCCUGAACUAGUGCUUGUGGACCCUGGCAUAAAGCUUCCAGUAAACUAAUCAAUAGUACUCCUGUGAAAUUAAUUCAGAGUAAAUGCCAGGGCUUAGCCUUUAGAAAUGUGAAGUGAUAAAGAAAGGGGUGCUUCUGAGUUUCUGUAUAGUGCUUUUCCUUCACCGUCAAGUAAUUCCAGGCAGCCUUUGAACCCUUGGGAAUAGGAUACAUUGUUUCCCCAUCUGGGGAUGACUUUUCUAAUUGUAGAAACUAAGAAAAUGUAAAACCAGCACGGUUUUGGCUCUAUAUUCGUAAUCUUGUAACUGUUCAUUGUUUUGUUUUGUUUUUAAAAAAUGCUAUUUUAUAUUCUUUGAAGAAGAAGCAGAAGCUAAGAAGAUCCAGUAUCUAGGUUAGCGAUCCCUUUUGUUAUAGCAAACCGUGCCAGUUAAAUAUCUAGUGCCAGUUUGAUGUAUUCCAGGUGAAAGCAGCACACGUAAUCUACUGAGCAAUACUUUCUCUGGAGAUAUCCAGUACUGGGAAUUUUACAGGUAGGUAGCCAUGUUGGUAUCUGAAGAAGUAUGCAUGCACACGAAAGUUCAUACCAAUAACAAACUUAGUUGGUCUUUAAGGUGCUACUGGAAGGAAUUUCUUUCUUUUGUUGGGAAUUUUGCGUUAAGAAUGUCUCACUAGGAUUUUUGUUUUUUGUCUUCCAAAGGCUAUACUCAGGCAACAUAAUGGGGUUUCAAUUUUGUCUAACUGUCCUUCAGUUUAUCAUCUUUGAAGUUAAUGGCAGAAAAUAGCUACAACUCCAGCUGAUGCCUUGGUUCCUGCUGAAUGAAACCAGCCCUGUUUGUUACUUCCUAUACCAGCUCGGGUUAUGUGAUGGUAGACUUGGUAACGCUGUCACAGCUUGAUAAACCACUAAUUUGUUUCAGAUGAGAGGUAGCAGUAAUGCAAAAUCAGAAUCAAUUAUCUAGGAAAGGAAAGAUUUACAUCCCAGAGUUAUUUGGAUUGGGUGACUCAGGAGAUAGAUAAUAUGUUUCAAAAUGAGCAAUUUUCUACACUGUUGUGCUUGAUAUAAAGUGCUGGACUGGCACAUUUUUGUAGUAUCAGUGCUGGCACCCAAUAAGCAACCUGAGAUUACAAUCUUAAAUUUGUUUUAUCCUCAUUAAAGUGUUUGGCACUGGAAAGGAUGCAUGUUUCGUCUUUUCUGUUCUCAUUACCAUUUCAAACUUGUCCCUGGCCGUAUUACUUUUGUUUCAACUACAAUUUCAUUCUACUUUCAUUGAAAAAAAAGAAGAGAAGAGAAGAGAAGAGAAGAGAAGAGAAGAGAGAAAGAGGCUAACAUCUGAAUCAGACCCUUGUUUUCAUUUUUUUUAACAAAACACCUGCCCUCUGCAGAAAAUACCACUAAGCAUCCAUUCGUUCUUUCUUGACAAUGCUGUUUAUCAAAAUGAUUUCAUACAAUUUCUCACAAUAUCUUUGUUGAAAUGUUCAUUGUGCUAAACAUCUUUCUAAACAUCGAAGGGGGAAGGGAGCCAAUGACUUAGUUCUACCCUUCAUCCCCAGACAAGUCCCUCCAUUAUUUUCUUGUUUGUUGGAAAAAUGAUCUCCAAAUUCCACCUUAAGUUUCAUAUGCAACAACCCAUUUCAUUGCCCACAACCCAUGUCAAUAGGUCACAAUGACAUCGUGGAUGCCUUGUCUCACUUCCAGAUGGAAUGUUUUUGUGACCUGGCAUCCGAGGCUGCCCAGCUACCAGAUCUCUUCCUGGAAGAUCUUUGGGAAACCGGACAACAGAGGGAGUAUUACAGGCACUUGCACCCACCACACUGCAGGCCCAUACAAGAGCAUGGUCAUCUUUUGAAGGCUUUAGAGCCACACAUUGUUGCUCUCAUAGGCACUCCGCUGAUGAAUCUGAUGUUCUAAAAUACCUGGUCUUCCUCAAGAGGAAAGGCUUGCCCAUUAAGACCAUGAGCAUCCACAGGGCAGCUGUCUCCUACUUUAGCAAAUGCUUUUGGUUGCCAGAACCCUGUAAUACUUUCCAUGUGAAAAAUCUAAUUGUGGGAUGGCGCCGCCGCAGGCACCCAGCAGUGCCAGACACCAAAAACGCCUAUUACUCUCAAAACCCUGUGGCUGAUUUGGGACAAGUUGCGCAGUGUAUGUUGGUCCUCCUUGGAGGUCAAGUUAUUUCGAGCUGCUUAUUCAAUGGCAUUUUCCGGGGCGCUGGGUUUCGGCGAGUGCACUGAGGGUGCGGCAUCGUCGCUCCAUGCAGGUCUGUGGUUUAAAGGUCUAAAGUUCCAUGAAGGCCUCUUGGAACUUAGUAUAUGUUCUUUCAAAACCAAUCAAUUACGCAGGGGCACUGUCCUGACUCUGGCCCCCUCCCCACACAGUGCGCCAUCCGCGAUCUAAAAAACAGCAAUAAUUAAGGAUUUCUGGAAUUCCCACAAGGAACCCUGGCAUGAGAGAGGGACCAACUCCUGGCAGGGGAUGUGGGAGGAGUGAGUGUUUCAUGGGUCCACUGGAGAUAUGGGAAUAUGCAGGGCACAGGACUCCUAUAGCUAAAUGUUUCCUUUUUAUUUUGCAAUAUUGAGUUGGGUUAAAGACUUGGCAGGGUGCCUCCAUAGACAAAUUACUGCAGAAAGCAUUUCCUGGGAGUAGAUUUGAAAAACCACUGAUCUAAGGGAUCAGUUUGCAAUGUAUUUGACCCCUACACUCAAUCACAGUGAUGUUCAAAGCGAGACUUAUCAUCUUGGUUGUCUUAUUGGAAUCCUCUGAGUUUCAAAGGUUUGUGUAGUUUACUUAACUCCUUCGAGCAGAACUCAGAUGUGCUUUGGGCUUAUAUAGAUAGAAAUUUCAUCCAUCACAAGCAAAAAAUAAGAAGUGUGAUUCUUUCAGAAAGUUUGUAGCUACCAGGUCUCCUGCUGGUUAUUGAUGCAGAGGGAUUACAGGGUAUUGGUUUAUAGACAGUGGAAUCAGUAAAUUUAAUAAAGUCUCUCCUGUAGUUAAUCAAAGUAAUUAACACAAGGGUGCAGAGGGGAACAGGAAGCAGUGCAAUUUGGCUGGAGGAAAGCUGGCUGGAAGAGAACUCAUCAGUGCAUGAUAAACUACUUAAUCAUUAGCAGAACUUCAAAGCCAUAAGUAUUUAUUUACAUUUAUUUUCUGGCUGCUUCAAGCUGCAUCACAUAAUAAAUGUGCUUCCCUAAGGACAGGGAUGAACAUGUGUUAUCACUUGGGACUGUGGUGGGCUUCUAUAUGAGAACCUUCCAGCCAUGGAAGUGUCUUCUCGCUUGUAAACCUGACAAUGAAAUGGAUUAGUUCAGCUAAAUGUAGGCUGAAUGGAAAGGGGCUAGCUUUGAGCUCACAUACAUGGCCUAACUACUCCGGGUGAAAUUGGUUGUCUGUACCAUUCUUUGAAAAGUUAGAAAAAUUUCACCAUACAUACCGUGCUAUUUGCCAAAGGGAAAUCUUGUAAAGAGUAUGGCUGGAGAGUUGAAGGAAAGCGUGGUCUAAAAGAAAUGACCGCUGUUCAGAAUAUGUGGAAAAAUCUGAAAGCACCUUUAAGAGAAGUCUGCAAACCUUAGGGGAAUUUAGUUGGAUUUGGGCUGCCUCUCCUUGAAGACCUCAAGGUGUUUAAGCUCUUAAACAUCACAAUUCCAGUGAACCUUGGACUUUUGGCCCAUCAUUUCCCCAUUGCUCCAAGGCAGUGGUGAAGCUGGAACGAAGCACCAUUGCCUAAAUAUCUCAUAUGUUAACAGCGGUAGUUUUUGACUUUUUGUAUCUUGAGUAGACAUGGAAACUACUUAGCUUGUUAAACUGAAAGUAGUCUUUUAAAAAGUGGAUAUAUUCUCAGGUUGGAUCCUUCUGUUUGCAGGGGGAAUUGAGAACUAAUAGAAGCUCCCUGCUGGAGGUAGGUGACAGGACAGCAGUUUUAGUCCAUUUCCACUUUUCUCUGCAACUGCCAGGGCUCCCUCCCAUGCAUUUUUGGAGAAUCUCCCAGAAGCAAAUCCCAGGGCAAAGUAGAAACUGGUGAAAAUCACCACCUCACCCAUCUGGGUAUACCCCUGUAUGGUUUUUCUGGAGUUACACAGCACUAGUAGAGCAUUCUAUAAAAUGUGGGGUUUUUAAAAUAUCAGUUCCAUAUUUUAUGUUUAUGUUACAUUACUUGACAUCAUUUGAUAACUGACAUGGUUGUGUAUAGUAUUAAGUACCUGACAGCAUUUGCUAGGUGAUAUGCAGUAGGUUUCACUAUUUGACAACUGAAGUGAUAGCAUUUGGUACUAAUAGGUGACAUGCUGUAGUGUCAGUAUCUGGCAUCUAAUAUGUCAUUGUGUGGAGUAAAAACGUCUUUUUGUAUCCAUUUGACAUGAAACCCAAAUUGAACAGUUACAUAUGGAAUGCUGAGAUCAAAUUUUGAUUCUGAGUUCCGAGGCCCCUGAUUGAAUUCAAAAUCCAAAUCUUGAGUUAUGGUUUUUAAUAGUUUUUUUUAAAAAACAACACACAAAACAACAGCAACCAGAUGUUCCCAUUUUAUAUACAGUGGUACCUUAGUUCUUAAACUUAAUCUGUUCCGGGAGUCCGUUUGAAUCCCGAAACCGUUCAAAAACCAAGACACGGCUUCUGAUUGGUUACAGGAGCUUCCUGCACUCAAGUGGAAGCUAUGUUGGACAUUCAGCUUCCGAAAAAUGUUCACAAACCAGAACACUUAAUUCCGGGUUGCGCCGUUCAGGAGCCGAUUAGUUUGACAACUAAGCCAUUUGAGAACCAAGGUACCACUGUAUUUUGCUUCAUCAUUCUAAUAAUAUUAUUAGGUAUGUUAUGCUACUUAUAAGUGAACGAAGGCAUUAUAAUUGGGACGAUUAUACUUGUCAUAUUUCACUUUUAAACCCUUCUAAAAUGGGACGGAGAAUUUGAGACUUAGCCCACUUAAUGAACACUUGGUUGGGCUUCAGACACUGAUCUCCUUUGCUCAAAUCCAAUACUUCACUGCUCAGGUUCUAAAAACAGCACAGUUAAGAAGAGUUCAGUCUCAAGCACCUAGUACAUUUGAUAGACCCUUGUGCUCAGGGCUUGCAAAUUUACACACAGGAGCACUCUCACGUACAUAACAUGUAUUUUUUUCUUUCUCUUUGGCAAAAAUCUACCAAAGAGGUGGUACAUUUGGCUUUUCUUAGUUUAAAAACUUUCUUUCUAAACAGCAAUAUUCAUUAUUAAAGUGUAUCAUCAUUUAUUGAAGCCAGCAGGGAGACAUAUUUUGAAGACAAACUAUGCAGGUUGUAGUAUUAUUUACGUAAGAUGCAGGGUUGAGAUCCACACUGGGAAUGAACAACUUCAGAAGCCUUCCAAAUGAUUGAGCUAUAUAACAGAAUUUCCAUCUCUUUGUAACUACUAGAGAUAUGGCACAUCUUCUCAAAAGUAAUAAGAACAAAGUUGAUAACGGAACAUCUUAACUUUGAUAAAAUGGGUUAGGAAGCCCGGAGUGCUAGCUCUUUAACAGAAGCAUGGAACUGAAUUUCAGGAGCUUUUCCUCCACUAGAGUAGAGUAUGUAGGAUUGUAGUGCACUUUUGUGAGAAGAGUUUUCGAACUCAAGGAAACAAGCAAAAGCAUAUUAGCAGAAACCUUUUUUUGUUAGACUUCUCCACUCGGCCAAUCUCCCAUUCUUCAAGCAACAAAGGAAUAGCUUCUUAUUAGAAUUUCACAGCACCAUUCCACUGGUUAUUGGAAUAAAUCAAACACAGACUUAUAAAAUGUGUACCAGGUCUCCUGUAUGAUAGUCCUAAUUGGGAUUUGCCAAGCUUUCUGCUGCACCUCCUACAAUAAGCUUGAUUCUUCAGGAGUGAGAAGGAGAGGAAGGGGAGUUUAGGAGGAACUCAAUUUUAGUGUCACCCAGAGCUCAUGUAAUUUAAGAGGCAAGAAAGAUGUCUUUAUAAUGUAUUGUUAUAUUUGAAAUAGAAGAUCCAUGCAAAUAGAUGGAACAUUUAUCCUAGGCACUAAAGAAGCAGCCAGGGACCAACUGUAUCACUUUUUUUUUAAAGGAUUUGGCAUAAUGCGUUUCAAAAACAGCAAAGAAAAAAGAGGCAUCUUAAGACAAACUAUGAAGGUGCUGCUUUGCUGUGUUUGUGUCUUUCUUGUCCACACUCACCAACAAAGAAAUGAAUUGAUAAAGAAAUAAUGAGAGAGAAACUAAAAUGCACUAAAUAUUUACAGUAUUUAUCCAGCCCAACGUGUUUCUAUCACAAUCUGUUUCAACAAAAAAAUAAAACUCUUACGUUACCUGCGGCUCCAGGUAACACUUCAAGUAUCUGAUGAAGUGGACUAUAGUUCACUAUAUUUGCUGUAAUAAAUAUGUCAGUCUGAGAUGCUACAAGAAUCUUCACUAUA